UUUUAUUACAAUGGUCUUGUUGAUGGAUCUUAGGGAAAGAACUAUGUUGGUCUCGCAAUAAUUGAGUUGUGAAAUCAACUAUGAUGUUAUCUGAACUUUGUAUUGCCAAAGGAAAAGAAAUGAAUCAUGGAGUUUUUAUUCACAGAAACAAUGUUAGUCACAUGGUUCCUAAUUUCCUUUUGUAUAGAUGAUACUUUUUGGAAUUAAAUCUUAGGUUAUUAGGCUAUUAGCAGUUGAAAUUUUCGAGUAAAUUUAGUCGCUAUAUCAAUGGUUGGACUGAACUGUUUUUGGAGUAAGGUUUAAUUGACUUUGGCAUUUGCAGUUGGAUUUAUUGUUCUGAAAUUGUGAAUUGAUUCCUAGUGGUAAUGCAACUCAUAAAUCAUGAGCAAAGAUGGCACCAUCAUUAGAUCUUAUUAAUUUUUGGAACCUAUUGCAUGUUUGGUGAUAAUUUGGGAGGAAAAGGUGGUCAAUCUAGAAGCUGAGACCAUAUUGUGCUACAAUAUUUCAAAAUCUUGCUUGUGCCUACCUAUGUAAGAAAGAUUGUUACUCAAUCAUGUUCCUGCUGAAUGGAUUCUAGAACAGGGAAUUGGAAACAGUUAUAUUUCCAUCAUUUUGUUAGAGGUGAUUGUUUUUGAGUUCGAAUUUGCAUUCUUGUGGGGGUAAUCUUAAGAAGUUAACAUUACACCAAGUGCCACUGUUCCACCCAUCCAUAUAUGUCUCUUGAAAUUGUAAGCUUCUCUAGUAGGAUUUUAGGAAAUUCGCAAUAUGCUUACUACCUACUAAAACAAUGGGUUGGCUUGUUUUGAUAAUAUUCUAAGAUCAUCAUUAUUAUGUAGGAAUGCUGGCUUUACUGUGUUUUAUGCUUUAGUUGUGUGCUAUAUCACCAGGCCAAGAAAAAAACAAUACUGAGAUGUUACCUAGCAAUUUGCAUUUGUUAGGUGAACAAUCUAAGGAUUUAUUGUGCAAUAUGCCUAUUUACUACAUUAAAGAAUGUGAUUGAUUUUAUACUGUGCUUUGGUUCUGUUUGCAG
RNAcentral lists this unclassified non-coding RNA (1030 nucleotides) under Hevea brasiliensis (rubber tree). The record is from RNAcentral. Lineage: Eukaryota; Viridiplantae; Streptophyta; Magnoliopsida; Malpighiales; Euphorbiaceae.